AUACUUGGUGUGAAUUGCARAAUCCCGUGAACCAUMGAGUUUUUGAACGCAAGUUGCGCCCGAAGCCAUUAGGCCGAGGGCACGC
Molecule: ribosomal RNA, 85 nt
Filed under: Pelargonium denticulatum
Lineage: Eukaryota; Viridiplantae; Streptophyta; Magnoliopsida; Geraniales; Geraniaceae
Description: partial 5.8S ribosomal RNA
Rfam family: 5.8S ribosomal RNA
About the family: 5.8S ribosomal RNA (5.8S rRNA) is a component of the large subunit of the eukaryotic ribosome. It is transcribed by RNA polymerase I as part of the 45S precursor that also contains 18S and 28S rRNA.
Source: RNAcentral